GACAGAGGGUGCAAACGUUGUUCGGAAUUACUGGGCGUAAAGCGCGUGUAGGCGGCCAGGUAGGUCGGUUGUGAAAAUUGGAGGCUCAACCUCCAGACGUCGAUCGAAACCAUCUGGCUAGAGUCCGGAAGAGGAGACUGGAAUUCCUGGUGUAGCAGUGAAAUGCGUAGAUAUCAGGAGGAAUACCGAUGGCGAAGGCAGGUCUCUGGGCUGACACUGACGCUCAUGCACGAAAGCGUGGGGAGCAAACAGG
This 253-nucleotide ribosomal RNA is filed under the name uncultured bacterium. Its description in RNAcentral is "partial 16S ribosomal RNA". It matches the Rfam family "Bacterial small subunit ribosomal RNA", at positions 524 to 776 of the family's 1533-position model. The record is from RNAcentral.